GGGGGCCUCUGCUAGUGUGCGACUUGUGUCUUGGACUGACUUUGCAGCGGAUUCUUGUAAUUCUGUGCACGUUCAAGUUUCCACCUUCCAUGCGUGUGAUAUCACUGAGGGAUGUGCCACCUCCACCCCGCACGCCCACCACUGCCACCCUGCUGCUGAAGAGAUUUGUCACCCACUCCGGUCUCUACUGGCGCCCAGAAGCUCUGUCGGUAAACCAAUAUAGAAUCAUCCCACUGUCGUCCUCGCUACUGUGUUUUUCCAUCUCAGCUCCUCCAUGUACGUUUCACAUUCCUCGGGAAAACAAGUUCCAGGAUUCCCAGCUUGAAGCCUUUUGAAAGCUGACCAUGUCCAUGCCAUUCACCGUGCUUGUCUUGGAGGACACACAAGGAUGCUGUGACCAACUGCCGUG
Dunckerocampus dactyliophorus (ringed pipefish) is the source of this 409-nucleotide long non-coding RNA. RefSeq lists it as uncharacterized. The record is from RefSeq and is a predicted model, not a curated record. The transcript has 3 exons. Lineage: Eukaryota; Metazoa; Chordata; Actinopteri; Syngnathiformes; Syngnathidae.